CCUACGGGAGGCAGCAGUAGGGAAUAUUGCUCAAUGGGCGAAACCCUGAAGCAGCAACGCCGCGUGGAGGAUGAAGGUUUUCGGAUUGUAAACUCCUUUUUUUAGAGAAGAUAAUGACUGUAUCUAACGAAUAAGCACCGGCUAACUCCGUGCCAGCAGCCGCGGUAAUAAGGAGGGUGCACGCGUUACUCGGCAUCACUGGGCGUAAAGAGCGCGUAGGCGGGAUUGCAAGUCAGAUGUGAAAUCCUAUGGCUUAACCAUAGAACUGCAUUUGAAACUGUUAUUCUAGAGUAUGGGAGAGGUAGGUGGAAUGCUUGGUGUAGGGGUAAAAUCCGUAGAGAUCAAGAGGAAUACUGAUUGCGAAGGCGACAUGCUAGAACAUAACUGACGCUGAUGCGCGAAAGCGUGGGGAGCAAACAGGAUUAGAUACCCGGGUAGUC
Molecule: ribosomal RNA, 440 nt
Filed under: uncultured bacterium
Lineage: Bacteria
Description: partial 16S ribosomal RNA
Rfam family: Bacterial small subunit ribosomal RNA
Source: RNAcentral